Molecule: ribosomal RNA, 396 nt
Filed under: uncultured bacterium
Lineage: Bacteria
Description: partial 16S ribosomal RNA
Rfam family: Bacterial small subunit ribosomal RNA
Source: RNAcentral
CCUACGGGAGACAGCAGUGAGGAAUAUUGGUCAAUGGACGAGAGUCUGAACCAGCCAAGUAGCGUGAAGGAUGACUGCCCUAUGGGUUGUAAACUUCUUUUAUAAAGGAAUAAAACGAGUCACGUAUUCCUUUUUGCAUGUACUUUAUGAAUAAGGAUCGGCUAACUCCGUGCCAGCAGCCGCGGUAAGACGGAGGAUUCGAGCGUUAUCCGGAUUUAUUGGGUUUAAAGGGAGCGUAGAUGGGUUGUUAAGUCAGUUGUGAAAGUUUUGCGCUCAACCGUAAAAUUGCAAUUGAUACUGGCAGUCUUGAGUAUAGUUGAGGUAGGCGGAAUUCGUGGUGUAGCGGCGAAAUGCUUAGAUAUCUCGAAGAACCCCGAUUGCGAAGGCAGCUUUCUA